Molecule: non-coding RNA, 30 nt
Filed under: Mus musculus (house mouse)
Lineage: Eukaryota; Metazoa; Chordata; Mammalia; Rodentia; Muridae
Source: RNAcentral
UCAGCUUUGCCCUUCUUAGGGGAGGAGAAC